UAUCAGAAGUGCGAAUGCUGACAUAAGUAACGAUAAAGCGGGUGAAAAGCCCGCUCGCCGGAAGACCAAGGGUUCCUGUCCAACGUUAAUCGGGGCAGGGUGAGUCGACCCCUAAGGCGAGGCCGAAAGGCGUAGUCGAUGGGAAACGGGUUAAUAUUCCCGUACUUGGUGUUACUGCGAAGGGGGGACGGAGAAGGCUAUGUUGGCCGGGCGACGGUUGUCCCGGUUUAAGCGUGUAGGUGUGUGUUCCAGGUAAAUCCGGUUCACUUUAACACUGAGGCGUGACGACGAGGCACUACGGUGCUGAAGCAACAAAUGCCCUGCUUCCAGGAAAAGCCUCUAAGCAUCAGGUAACAUCAAAUCGUACCCCAAACCGACACAGGUGGUCAGGUAGAGAAUACCAAGGCGCUUGAGAGAACUCGGGUGAAGGAACUAGGCAAAAUGGUGCCGUAACUUCGGGAGAAGGCACGCUGACACGUAGGUGAAGUGAUUUACUCAUGGAGCUGAAGUCAGUCGAAGAUACCAGCUGGCUGCAACUGUUUAUUAAAAACACAGCACUGUGCAAACACGAAAGUGGACGUAUACGGUGUGACGCCUGCCCGGUGCCGGAAGGUUAAUUGAUGGGGUCAGCGCAAGCGAAGCUCCUGAUCGAAGCCCCGGUAAACGGCGGCCGUAACUAUAACGGUCCUAAGGUAGCGAAAUUCCUUGUCGGGUAAGUUCCGACCUGCACGAAUGGCGUAAUGAUGGCCAGGCUGUCUCCACCCGAGACUCAGUGAAAUUGAACUCGCUGUGAAGAUGCAGUGUACCCGCGGCAAGACGGAAAGACCCCGUGAACCUUUACUAUAGCUUGACACUGAACAUUGAGCCUUGAUGUGUAGGAUAGGUGGGAGGCUUUGAAGUGUGGACGCCAGUCUGCAUGGAGCCGACCUUGAAAUACCACCCUUUAAUGUUUGAUGUUCUAACGUGGACCCGUUACCCGGGUUGCGGACAGUGUCUGGUGGGUAGUUUGACUGGGGCGGUCUCCUCCUAAAGAGUAACGGAGGAGCACGAAGGUUGGCUAAUCCUGGUCGGACAUCAGGAGGUUAGUGCAAUGGCAUAAGCCAGCUUGACUGCGAGCGUGACGGCGCGAGCAGGUGCGAAAGCAGGUCAUAGUGAUCCGGUGGUUCUGAAUGGAAGGGCCAUCGCUCAACGGAUAAAAGGUACUCCGGGGAUAACAGGCUGAUACCGCCCAAGAGUUCAUAUCGACGGCGGUGUUUGGCACCUCGAUGUCGGCUCAUCACAUCCUGGGGCUGAAGUAGGUCCCAAGGGUAUGGCUGUUCGCCAUUUAAAGUGGUACGCGAGCUGGGUUUAGAACGUCGUGAGACAGUUCGGUCCCUAUCUGCCGUGGGCGCUGGAGAACUGAGGGGGGCUGCUCCUAGUACGAGAGGACCGGAGUGGACGCAUCACUGGUGUUCGGGUUGUCAUGCCAAUGGCACUGCCCGGUAGCUAAAUGCGGAAGAGAUAAGUGCUGAAAGCAUCUAAGCACGAAACUUGCCCCGA
This 1539-nucleotide ribosomal RNA is filed under the name Salmonella enterica. Its description in RNAcentral is "partial 23S ribosomal RNA". It matches the Rfam family "Bacterial large subunit ribosomal RNA", at positions 1280 to 2802 of the family's 2925-position model. Lineage: Bacteria; Pseudomonadati; Pseudomonadota; Gammaproteobacteria; Enterobacterales; Enterobacteriaceae. RNAcentral also lists the same sequence under 1 other name. The record is from RNAcentral.